CACACACACACACACACGUACGUUAUUAGCGGAUGUUUGUAACUUCAUGUCCCUGUGGCCUGAUACUCUUUCACUCUGAUAGUGUUCAGACUGGAAUGUGUGUAUUCCCCUGAAGUCAUUUUGAUGCUCUGCACCACCACAGAGACACUAAGACCAGGCAGACAGCAGUGAGAAUAGACAGUAGGGGAGAUAAGAGGAGAGACAGUAGGGGAGAUAAGAGAAGAGACAGUAGGGGAAAUAAGAGGAGAGACAGUAGGGGAGAUAAGAGGAGAGACAGUAGGGGAGAUAAGAGAAGAGACAGUAGGGGAAAUAAGAGGAGAGACAGUAGGGGAGAUAAGAGAAGAGACAGUAGGGGAGAUAAGAGAAGAGACAGUAGAGGAAAUAAGAGGAGAGACAGUAGGGGAGAUAAGAGAAGAGACAGUAGGGGAAAUAAGAGGAGAGACAGUAGGGGAAAUAAGAGGAGAGACAGUAGGGGAGAUAAGAGGAGAGACAGUAGGGGAGAUAAGAGGAGAGACAGUAGGGGAGAUAAGAGGAGAGACAGUAGGGGAGAUAAGAGGAGAGACAGUAGGGGAGAUAAGAGGAGAGACAGUAGGGGAGAUAAGAGAAGAGACAGUAGGGGAGAUAAGAGGAGAGACAGUAGAGGAUGUCUGACGAUGAUGUGAAAAACAGAUCAAACCACUUCCCAUUUAACUGGAGGAAAGCAACCAGCCAACCAGAGACCAGACACUAGCAGCAACCAGCCAACCAGAGACCAGACACUAGCAGCAACCAGCCAACCAGAGACCAGACACUAGCAGCAACCAGCCAACCAGAGACCAGACACUAGCAGCAACCAGCUACAAGCAGAUAGUCCCUUUUCAUGUUCAAGAUGACUGUUUCCCACAUAGCAGAUACAAACAGAAAUCCAUGAGUAUGACACAAAAGAGUGAGGGUUAUGGUUACAGUACAGCCUGUACCAGACCAGAACAUGUUGAGGUGGUUUGGCUGAAGGUACAGUACAGCCUGUACCAGACCAGAACAUGCUGAGGUAGUUUGGCUGAAGGUAUAGUACAGCCUGUACCAGACCAGAACAUGCUGAGGUAGUUUGGCUGAAGGUAUAGUACAGCCUGUACCAGACCAGAACAUGUUGAGGUAGUUUGGCUGAAGGUAUAGUACAGCCUGUACCAGACCAGAACAUGUUGAGGUAGUUUGGCUGAAGGUAUAGUACAGCCUGUACCAGACCAGAACAUGCUGAGGUGGUUUGGCUGAAGGUAUAGUACAGCCUGUACCAGACCAGAACAUGUUGAGGUAGUUUGGCUGAAGGUACAGUACAGCCUGUACCAGACCAGAACAUGUUGAGGUGGUUUGGCUGAAGGUAUAGUACAGCCUGUACCAGACCAGAACAUGUUGAGGUGGUUUGGAUGAAGGUACAGGAUAGAGGAAGCUUACUUCAGUCUUCACUAAAACCACAAUCUCAAGUGCAUUGUUUUCCCCCAUAGACUUGUAUAAUGGCUGGUUUCCCCCAGAGACUUGUAUAUGGGGGAAACCAGUGAUUGCCAACAAGGGUUUUGCAAGUGCUAAGUCAUGUUUUGCAGAGGUGUCAAAUACUUAUUUCCCUCAUUAAAAUGCAAAUCAAUUUAUAACAUUUUUGACAUGUGUUUUUCUGGAUAUUUUUGUUGUUAUUCUGUCUCUCACUGUUCAAAUAAACCUACCAUUAAAAUUA
RNAcentral lists this long non-coding RNA (1702 nucleotides) under Salmo salar (Atlantic salmon). RNAcentral describes it as "lncRNA (ENSSSAG00000108750.1, ENSSSAG00000121639.1)". Lineage: Eukaryota; Metazoa; Chordata; Actinopteri; Salmoniformes; Salmonidae. The record is from RNAcentral.